RNAcentral lists this long non-coding RNA (1134 nucleotides) under Ananas comosus (pineapple). Its description in RNAcentral is "long non-coding RNA (ACOM_LNC003996)". The record is from RNAcentral. Lineage: Eukaryota; Viridiplantae; Streptophyta; Magnoliopsida; Poales; Bromeliaceae.
AUUUUAAAAUUUUAAAAUUUGAAAUUUAAAAUUUUAUGUUGCAAUUUAAAAUUUAGAAAUUGAUACAUUUUUGGGAGUCCAAAAUGGUGGAAUUUUUUUCCUUUGGUUAGAGUGGAUUGUAAGUUUACUCCAUUUUUUGAAUUAUAAUAUAACUAUACUCUAAAAAUUAUGUCAUUUUUUUUUUUCUUCCAAACGCUUCAUAGAAUUAUUUUUCUACUAGUGUGCUACGUUUUUAGAGAUAUCCAAUAGGAUUAUUUUCCUACUAGCGUGCUACGUUUUUAGAGGUAUCCAAACGGGACCUUAAUCAUAUCCAGUUUCUUGUAAAUAUAUAAAGUGAAUUACAAAUGUAUUUCUAUAAAAUUUAAUAUUCUUAUAUUAUUUAUGUAAAAAUUUUAAUAUUUUUAAAUAUAUUCCUACCGUUAUGAUCCGUUAGAAAAAUUUAAUUAACGAUAGGAAAAAUAGUUAGUCCAGAUUAAUAAAUGAGAUAAAUUGAUAUUUUGACCCCUCUUAAUUAUAUUAUACCUUUUUCUCUCAACCAAAACCAUAGUAAUGAAUUUUUUUUUUCAUCUCUCUGCCUUUUCCUUUUCCGCUCUCUCUUUUAUGCUUUCCUAACUAAAAUUUUUCUGUCUCCAUUCAUACACAACGCGUGUUGUUUCGCCCAUGUCGAACGAGUGUUUCUUUUCUAUUUAACUUUUUCUAUGAUUUUUCUUAUUUUACUUAAAAGAAAAUAUUUAGAAGAAAAUGUGUGAGAGAAGAUGUUGCAAUAGUGAUGGGUUGGAUUAAAUUUUAAAAAGUAAUAAGAUGAGAAAGAAGAAGACCAUUAAAAUUAUUUUGGAGGGAUAUUUCUGCACGAUUAUAACAGUUGGGGCAUUUGGAAGGAUAUAUUUGUGAUGAUAAAAUUAUUAUUUCACUUACAUAUGGUUAAAAUAGGAAUAGUUCUUUAACAGUAAAAAAAACAUAUAGAGAUAUAUUUCUGCGUUCUCCGAUGAGAUCGCAAAAAAUAUAACAUAAUCGGCUAAUCACGAUAUGCGAAACGUAAUAUUAUGUCUAAAAAUAAACAAAAAUUUUUUAAUCGUCCUUUUAAGCCGCACGUAAUGUAAUCUCUCUAAAAUCUCAAACGAAGCUUUAGCCAUG